CAGAUUUUUACCUUCUUCAGUCGGAGCUUCAGGAGCUUCCUGGUUCUGAGGAGAGCUGGUGUGAGGAGCGCUGGGUUUAUCCUUCAGUCCUGGGGGUUUACAGACACGUCUCACUCCAGACCAGAGUUUUACUGAUACCUCUCGUCUUCAUCACCUCACCCGGCGUCUCAUCUGGUUCAUCACACAACAAAGUACAGAAAUCAACAUCAGAAACUAAUCAAUCAGCAUCACACCAUCAUCAUCACACCAUCACACCAUCAUCACUCCAUCAUCAGUCCAUCAAAACAUAAUCACACCAUCAUCACUCCAUCACACCAUCAUCACUCUAUCAUCACACCAUCAUCGCUCCAUCACACCAUCACACCAUCAUCACUCUAUCAUCACUCCAUCAUCACACCAUCAUCACUCCAUCACACCAUCAUCACAUCAUCGCUCCAUCAUCACUCCAUCAUCACUCCACACCAUCAUCAGUCCAUCAUCACUCCACACCAUCAUCGCUCCAUCAUCAGUCCAUCAAAACAUCAUCACACCAUCAUCACUCCAUCAUCACUCCACACCAUCAUCGCUCCAUCAUCAGUCCAUCAAAACAUAAUCACACCAUCAUCGCUCCAUCAUCACACCAUCAUCACUCCAUCACACCAUCAUCACUCCAUCACACCAUCAUCACUCCAUCAUCACUCCACACCAUCAUCGCUCCAUCAUCAGUCCAUCAAAACAUAAUCACACCAUCAUCGCUCCAUCAUCACACCAUCAUCACUCCAUCACACCAUCAUCACAUCAUCGCUCCAUCAUCACUCCAUCAUCACUCCACACCAUCAUCAGUCCAUCAAAACAUCAUCACUCCAUCAUCACUCCAUCAUCACUCCACACCAUCAUCAGUCCAUCAAAACAUCAUCACUCCAUCAUCACUCCAUCAUCACUCCAUCAUCACUCCACA
Trichomycterus rosablanca is the source of this 937-nucleotide long non-coding RNA. RefSeq lists it as uncharacterized. The record is from RefSeq and is a predicted model, not a curated record. The transcript has 2 exons. NCBI's taxonomy places the organism in Eukaryota, Metazoa, Chordata, Actinopteri, Siluriformes, Trichomycteridae.